GUGCUUGCUUUGGUGGCACAUACAUUAAAAUUGGCAUGAUACAGAAAAGAUUAGUAUGGCCCCUGUACAAGGAUGACAUACAAAUUCAUGAAGUGUUCCAUAUUUUU
RNAcentral lists this small nuclear RNA (107 nucleotides) under Choloepus hoffmanni (Hoffmann's two-fingered sloth). Lineage: Eukaryota; Metazoa; Chordata; Mammalia; Pilosa; Megalonychidae. The record is from RNAcentral.